GAAGUGCAAGAACAGGAGCUGAAGGCUGAAGAAGAAAUGGAUCAAAGGAAAGCAGAUCUGCUCAAGAGGAAUGGAGCUCCUAGUUUGGAUGUUUUGUAUCAUGGUUUCUUGUUCUUCUUCUUUUAUUUUUAAUUUUUUUUUUAAUUUUUGUUUAACUUCAUGCCUCUGGCCUUUGUUGGUAUAGGGUUUUGGUGCGAUCGUUAGUUGACAAACCCACUAGCCUGAUUUCCUGAAACAAGGCUCUAGCCAAAAAAGAAAUCCAAUUUAAAUGGAUAAGAAAUUACUGAUGAAAUAUCAAAUUUUGGGAUAUGUGAUACUGAUCACUAAUGAUAUAUGUAAAUUCUCUAAAUUAUACUAAGCACCCCACAAGAUUGAAUAAUUAUACAAACCACUUCUAAUUAUAUUAUGUGAUCAGUUUGUUUCUUAAUUGAAAUAGGCUGUUACAGCUUAUCUUCUAAAAUAUUUUAAAAAAUAGGAUUUGGACGAAAACUUGUUUGUCAUAAAUUAUAGUCUGUGGAUAAUUAAUGUAAUCAUUCAAGCUAGAGGAGAAGGUUGUGUAUUUUACCCGGAUGAUCAGUUUAUACUAUUUCUAGGGCAAGGGCGCCUCUAAUUUCUCACUUGGGAAAGGGGAAAAGAAGGAAAAAAGAUUUCCAAAGACAGAAUCAUAUUUCCAAAGAUUUCCAAAGUAGUUGGGGGGAAUGUUUCUCUCUCCUGUAAACAGGACCAUAUUUUCUUUUCCUGCUAUGGUGGCAGCAUAUUCUACUAGCACAGAGGCCAUGUCACCCAUUCUUUUUGAAAAAAUAGGGAACAUAGAAUCUGAGCCUGUCUAUUAUUCUUGUAAAUAAGGAUUGUUUAUGGCCUAUAGGUUCUUAGUUAUUUGCUUUUCACCUCCUCUUUAAAAUAAGAUUGUUUAUGCUGGCAAAUGUUCUCAUUUAUCUUUCUACUUUUUGAUAAAAUUCCAUCAACCUGAUUGGAGAAUUUAUCCCACUUUUUAAUCUUCACAUAUCCUUUCUAAUUUACAAUCUUCGCAUACACACUUAUAAAGCUACUGUGAGAUGGACUAUAGCAGCAGUGGAAAUGAUGCAUUUAAAGCUUUCUGCUAACAUUGAGGGUAAUAUUUGUAUUUGGCAAAAAAGUGUCCUCAUAAAUGAAUUUAAGGUUCAUAGUGCAGUAUCAAUAAAAUUUUUUACUUAUGUACAAAAUCUGGUUUGACUGAAAGUGCUGAGAAUAUAAACCACUGUGUCUGUCUUUCUUGAUAGGGCUGGUCUCCCCUGGAACUUAUUAAUUACACAAGAUGUCUUUGGGAUAGCUAACUCUAGUGAAAUUGUAUUGUGCAGCAUGCUACUAAUUCAACAAUUUGAAAUACCACUUGCAGAGCUUGCCUCGAGCUAUGAUUUAUUAUUUUGAUUUUGUCUAACCAUCUUCUUGACCUGCUGUGGAAUGCGCUUUAUAAAAUUUGUUUCAGGAUCCCGUGGAAUUCUUUCUG
This 1486-nucleotide unclassified non-coding RNA is filed under the name Hevea brasiliensis (rubber tree). The record is from RNAcentral. Lineage: Eukaryota; Viridiplantae; Streptophyta; Magnoliopsida; Malpighiales; Euphorbiaceae.